UUGUACCUAAAUUAUCUUGUUGUACCUCUUGAGAAGGGAGUUGUACCUGGGUGGAAGGGUGUUGUACCUAAAUUAUCUUAAUCUACACGAAAUUUACUCUAAACUAUUAAAAAGUAAAUUCUUCUCUUCUUCUUCUUUUCUUUUUGAAAUUAUUAGUUUUAGUUUUUUUUUACUCUUUUACUUUCAUGUCAAACUUAUUCAAUUUACACUCUAAUUUCUUAAAAGGGUUAAUUGCUAAUUUAGUAUUUGAUUCACUAAACAUUCAAUUUAAU
This 272-nucleotide long non-coding RNA is filed under the name Gossypium raimondii (Peruvian cotton). RNAcentral's name for it is "long non-coding RNA (GRAI_LNC005521)". The record is from RNAcentral. Lineage: Eukaryota; Viridiplantae; Streptophyta; Magnoliopsida; Malvales; Malvaceae.